GCACAACGUACAGUCAUUAUCAACAGAGACACACGUGACGAGGACGGAAAGCAGUGCGCUUAACAAACUCAACUACUCUGUGCUGCUGGAGCUGGCAUCAUAAGGCCGUUUGAUUUGAAACCAGCGCAGGAAGAGCUGCUCCUACUGAGCAGAUAAAAGUUCCGCUUCAAACACGGAACUCAGUCUGCAACAUCCAGCCGACGGUUUUAUCACACUCGAAGAAAUGAAGAAGCACGACGAACCCCGCGUCUCAACCUGCAAUGUGCCAAACCUGUGGUUCCUCUACAACAACUGGAGGAAGAACCUGAGACACCUGAGACACAACCUGAGGCAAACAGAGGCCCAAAAAUGCUGCACAGAACAACAAGACUGACUUUACAGAAUGAAGCGACUCACUGAACCAGAGCAAGAAGAGCUCACCCCUGAACUGGACAUGUGUGCAUCAUCUCCAGAAGACCUGUCCAAAGAGGUCGAGGAUCUAAGGAAGGAUAAACAGGAAUUAUGUGUCCAAAGUGACUUUGGGUUAGAGCGGGUUGCUGGCUCCGACCUCUGUCCACAUCAGUUCAAUUAUGUAGCUUCUGAUAAAUAUGUACCCAGUGUAUUUUUCAUGUUCAUGCUUUGGUAUUUAAGAAAUAUCUUAAUGUUAUAGAUGAAAUAUAGAAACAAAUAUUUUAUUAAAGGACUUUUGUCUACAUGUGAGCAAAGUACAGUGGCUUGCAAAAGUAUUCGGCCCCCUUGAACUUUUCCACAU
This is a long non-coding RNA of Oreochromis aureus, 751 nucleotides long. RefSeq lists it as uncharacterized. The record is from RefSeq and is a predicted model, not a curated record. NCBI's taxonomy places the organism in Eukaryota, Metazoa, Chordata, Actinopteri, Cichliformes, Cichlidae. The transcript has 3 exons.